AACGAACGCUGGCGGCAUGCCUAACACAUGCAAGUCGAACGAGACCUUCGGGUCUAGUGGCGCACGGGUGCGUAACGCGUGGGAAUCUGCCCUUCGGUUCGGAAUAACUCAGGGAAACUUGAGCUAAUACCGGAUAAUGACGUAAGUCCAAAGAUUUAUCGCCGAAGGAUGAGCCCGCGUAGGAUUAGCUUGUUGGUGGGGUAAUGGCCCACCAAGGCGACGAUCCUUAGCUGGUCUGAGAGGAUGAUCAGCCACACUGGGACUGAGACACGGCCCAGACUCCUACGGGAGGCAGCAGUGGGGAAUAUUGGACAAUGGGCGAAAGCCUGAUCCAGCAAUGCCGCGUGAGUGAUGAAGGCCUUAGGGUUGUAAAGCUCUUUUACCCGGGAUGAUAAUGACAGUACCGGGAG
This 410-nucleotide ribosomal RNA is filed under the name uncultured bacterium. Its description in RNAcentral is "bacterial SSU rRNA". It matches the Rfam family "Bacterial small subunit ribosomal RNA", at positions 29 to 484 of the family's 1533-position model. The record is from RNAcentral.